UCCGCUCGCUCGCAUUCACCGUUUUAAGCUCAUAUCGAUUCUUGCAGUGCUGGACCGAUCUGGCCUUCAACUCCGCGCACUGAUGCUGUAGCCCGUUGUUCUGGGCGAAACUACCGCGGUCUGUGAAUAGGACCAUGAAUCCCAACCCUAAAUAAAUGGUCACCGGGAGUGGGGGGAAAGCUACUUUGGUGACGGUCACCGGCUCUUGAGACUCUCGGGAGAGAAAAGGAACGCGGAGUUUUCGGCGGUCAUUUGACAGGCGCCGCCACCUUGGACCGAUGCCGCCGGUUCAUAGGACUGUGUCGGACCUCCGGUCCCGUGCUGACGGUUAUGAAAAGACGGAAGACGCUUCAGAGAAGACCUCUCUAGCUGAUCAGGAAGACUCCCGGCUAAUAUUCAUCAAUCAGCCCCAGUUUACCAAAUUCUGCUGUAAUCGAGUCAGCACCGCCAAGUACAACCUGCUGACGUUCCUGCCUCGGUUCCUCUACUCUCAGUUCAGAAGAGCGGCCAACUCCUUCUUUCUCUUCAUUGCUCUGCUGCAGCAAAUCCCUGAUGUUUCGCCGACAGGACGAUGGACGACGCUGGUGCCCUUACUUUUCAUUCUGGUGGUGGCAGCAGUGAAAGAGAUCAUAGAGGACCUGAAACGUCACAAAGCAGACAAUGUCGUCAACAAGAAAAAGACGCAAGUAUUACGGAACGGAGCUUGGGAGAUUGUACACUGGGAGAAGGUUGUGGUUGGAGAUAUAGUUAAAGUAAAUGGCAAAGAUUAUGUACCAGCAGAUUCUAUACUCCUCUCGUCCAGUGAACCUCAAGGAAUGUGCUACAUAGAAACCUCAAAUCUGGAUGGAGAGACGAAUCUCAAGAUCAGACAGGGUCUGCAGAUCACCGCUGACAUUAAAGAUAUUGACAGUCUGAUGCGUCUGUCUGGGCGGAUGGAAUGUGAGAGUCCCAACAGACACCUGUAUGAGUUUGUGGGAAAUAUUCGCCUGGAUGGACACAGCACUGUACCACUGGGUCCAGAUCAGAUUUUGUUGAGAGGAGCUCAGCUCAGGAACACACAGUGGAUUCAUGGUAUUGUGGUUUAUACAGGCCACGAUACCAAACUGAUGCAGAACUCCACCCGUCCUCCUCUAAAGCUGUCCAACGUGGAGCGCAUCACAAACUUUCAGAUCCUCUUUCUUUUCGGCUGUUUGUUGGCCAUCUCGCUUGUGUGCUCCAUCGGCCAGACCAUCUGGAAAUACCAGUACGGCAACGACGCCUGGUACAUGGACCUCAACUAUGGCGGAGCGGCUAACUUCGGCCUGAACUUUCUCACCUUCAUCAUCCUCUUCAACAACCUGAUUCCCAUCAGUCUUCUGGUGACUCUGGAGGUCAUAAAGUUCGUCCAAGCUUUCUUCAUCAACUGGGACACUGACAUGAUGUAUGAAGUCACCAAUACACCAGCUCAGGCCAGGACGUCGAACCUGAAUGAAGAACUGGGACAGGUGAAGUACAUCUUUUCGGACAAGACUGGCACCCUGACCUGCAACGUCAUGCAGUUUAAGAAGUGCACCAUUGCAGGCGUGGCCUAUGGUCAUGCAGCUGAAGUUGAGGAUGGUAGUUUUGCAGAGGAGGACUGUCACAGCUCUCAAUCCACAGAGGAAACUGGAUUUAAUGACCCCAGUUUAUUGGAAAAUCUCCAAAGCAAUCAUCCCACCGCUCCUGUCAUUAUGGAGUUUAUGACCAUGAUGGCUAUCUGUCACACAGCCGUGCCCGAACGCACGGAUGGCAGCAUCACCUACCAGGCUGCAUCACCAGAUGAAGGAGCUCUGGUGCGGGCGGCACAAGGCCUGGGCUUCGUGUUCUCGGGGAGAACUCCAGACUGUGUUAUUGUGGAUUCGUUCGGAGAAGAGGAGAAAUAUGAAUUGCUGCACGUUUUGGAAUUCACAAGUCCCAGAAAGAGGAUGUCAGUCAUCAUGCGUACUCCAUCAGGAAAGAUCCGCCUUUAUUGCAAAGGAGCCGACACGGUGAUCUAUGAGCGAUUAGCUGACAGUUCCAGAUACAAGGACAUCACCCUGAAACACCUGGAACAGUUUGCAACAGAAGGCCUACGCACCCUCUGUUUUGCUGUGGCGGAUAUAUCUGAAUCCACUUACCAGCAGUGGCUGGAAAUUUACCAUCGUGCUUCAACAUCACUUCAAAACAGAGCCCUCAAGAUGGAGGAGAGCUAUGAACUUAUUGAAAAGAACUUGCAGCUGCUGGGGGCCACAGCCAUUGAAGACAAACUGCAAGAUAAAGUCCCAGAAACCAUUGAGACCCUUAUGAAAGCGGACAUUAAGAUCUGGAUCCUCACUGGUGACAAACAGGAGACCGCCAUCAACAUAGGACACUCGUGCAAACUUCUCACGAAGAACAUGGGCCUGCUGGUGAUCAACGAGGACACCCUGGAUGGUACGAGGGAGAUCCUUAGUCAUCACUGCGGCAUACUGGGAGAUGCUCUGCACAAAGAGAACGACUUUGCACUUAUCAUUGACGGCAAGACGCUGAAGUAUGCCCUCACCUUCGGGGCCCGUCAGUACUUCCUGGAUCUGGCCCUUUCAUGCAAAGCUGUGAUAUGCUGCAGGGUUUCUCCUCUGCAGAAGUCUGAGGUGGUCGAGAUGGUAAAGAAGCAGGUGAAAGUGAUCACUCUGGCUAUCGGAGAUGGAGCCAAUGAUGUGGGCAUGAUCCAGACCGCCCAUGUGGGUGUCGGGAUCUCUGGCAAUGAGGGCCUGCAGGCUGCCAACUCAUCCGAUUACUCCAUUGCACAGUUCAAAUACUUGAAGAAUCUUCUGCUUGUUCACGGCGCCUGGAACUACAACCGCGUUUCCAAGUGCAUCCUGUAUUGCUUCUACAAGAACAUUGUGCUUUACAUUAUAGAGAUCUGGUUUGCGUUUGUAAAUGGUUUCUCUGGUCAGAUUCUGUUCGAGCGCUGGUGCAUCGGCCUGUACAAUGUGAUCUUUACUGCUCUGCCUCCUCUCACUCUGGGCAUCUUCGAGCGAUCCUGCAGGAAAGAGAACAUGCUGAAAUACCCUGAACUCUACAAAACCUCCCAGAAUGCAAUGGGCUUCAACACUAAGGUCUUCUGGGCCCAUUGUCUGAACGGCCUGUUUCACUCCGUCAUUCUCUUCUGGUUCCCCCUCAAGGCCUUCCAGCACGACACGGUCUUUGGAAACGGGAAGACACCAGACUAUCUCCUCUUAGGCAACAUGGUUUACACAUUUGUGGUGAUCACGGUCUGUUUGAAAGCUGGGUUAGAGACGUCGUCUUGGACCAUGUUCAGUCACAUUGCCAUCUGGGGCAGCAUUAUAUUGUGGAUAGUCUUCUUUGGCAUCUACUCUUCUUUAUGGCCACUGAUCCCUCUGGCUCCGGAUAUGUCAGGAGAGGCAGAAAUGAUGUUCAGCUCGGGACUCUUCUGGAUGGGCCUGAUCUUUAUUCCCAUCACCUCUCUGGUGUUUGAUGUGGCAUACAAAGUCAUGAAGAAGGUGUGUUUCAAGACCCUGGUGGAUGAGGUGCAGGAGUUGGAGGCGCUGUCUAAAGACCCCGGAGCCGUUGUGCAUGGAAAAAGUUUGACUGAGAGGGCCCAGCUUCUGAAGAACGUGUUCAAGAAGAGCACCGUCAAUCUGUACCGAUCCGACUCCAUGCAGCAGAACAUCCUCCGUGAGGAUGAGGGAUGUUCAAUGAUAGUUUAAUGUCCUUAGAUGCAUUCUUACCCUUAGCUCACACCGCAAAGCAUUACAGUUACCUGUGAAAAUGCAUUUUAGCAUCAUUCGCUUUCCUUAACGUCCCUCUCAUUCCCCACCUCCUACGCAUGUGCUGCUAUGUUUUGAAUGAGUCAUGUUUAAUCAUUUCAAUGCCCGCUAUCAUUCCCACAAUGCAUUGCCCUCCUCGGCCUCUUUCAUGUGCCUCCCAGGCCAGCAGGUAGAGGUUGAGUCAAAUGAGACCUAAGAUGGCUACGCAUUCUCUCAAGAUGAGAACGGAGUGCUGUCCCAGUCUGAGGUCAUCAGAGCCUACGACACCACCAAGCAGCGGACCAAUGAGUGGUGAGAUCCGGCUCGAUGGUCCCCCCCUCAGCGGCCACUCUACUUUUAAAGGCCGUCAGCCUGUCGGUUUAUCUUUGGCCAGCUUGGGGCACCCUGGGCAACAACGGAUAUGAAAAACAUGUUUGGGUAGGGGAGAGAUAUUCUCAUCUUGGGCUUUGAAAGGAAACAAAGAUUUAAGGGUUUGUCUGUUGAACAGCAGACACAAGCACUGUGCUAGAAUACUUUUUGCCCAGUGUACGGUCAGUAUAAAUUUGUGAUUUUUCAAGUGGAGGAGAGCAAACGUGAUGAACUGACUCUCCUCUCCUCCACCAUUCCUUCGGCUCUGAGUGUUGCAGCCAAAAAUGUGACGAUGAAGGUGUCGAGAAACGUUUGUGUGCUCUUCAACUGUGACGUCCUGUUUAUUAAUGCCACAUCUGUUGGUCAGAAUGUUCCCUUUUUGUUUUUAGUGUAUAGUUGUUUUUUAUUUGCAUUUAAAGUUUCACGUUCCAAAGAACAAUAUGAAUGCAGUCCCUGUUUUAAAGAAAUCGUAGGAAAACAAUUGUUAUGUGGUCCUUUACACUUGUUAAAUGCUUUCUGCACUAAUGUGACCACUUCACAUUCAACUUUUUAUUUUCAUGUUAAAUCGAACAUUACAAGGCCUUACAUGUGUUGUUGCCUUCUACCAUAACUGGAUGCUUUUUUUUGUGUGAAAUAUUUGUGGAUUUUUCUCUUCAGUCAGUUUAUCGUGCCUGAUUCUUUCAGAUCUCUUUCAGCUCGCACGUAUCUGUCAUUUUAUACAAUUUGGCAUCAUUUCAACGGCUCUCUUGAACAAGUCUCUGCAAUCCACAUAUUACACGGCUGCAAUGAUCACAAAGGUGCCUAACUGGAACUGCUUUUCCCCAGUGAGAUAGAAUUUCAGAGAAUAGGUAGCGGUAUAGCACGCUUAAAGGGAUACUUCACCCAAAAAUAAAAACUCUGUCAUCAUUUGCUCACCUUCGACUUGUUCGAAAUCUGUAUAAAUUUCUUUGUUCUGAUGAACAAAGAAAAAGAUAUUUGGCAGAAUGCGUAUUACCAGAGAUAUUUUGACCCCCAUUGACUACCAUAGUAAAAAAAAAAAACGGUAGUGCCCCAGAACUGUUUGCUGUCCAACAUUCUUCAAAAUGUCUGUUCAACAGAACAAGUCAUUUUUCCUAAUAUGGGAGUCAAUGGGAGGAAAAAUCUGUCUGGUUACAAGCAUUCUUCCAAAUAUCUUUCUCUGUGUUCAUCAGAACAAAGACAUUUAUACAGUUUUGGAACAACUCGAUGACAGAAUUUUUCAUUUUUGGGUGAAGUGUCUCUUUAAGUUAGACAAAAACAACGACAUCGUCCAUCUCAUAAUAUGUUGUCCAUGUUGUAUCAGGCUGCUAUAGGAGUGUGAGUCGAUAUUUUUAGGCCUCACAUUGAACAGUUUAUGGUCGUGUUUAAUAACGCGUUGUUCGCCGUAACAUUUAUUCAACAAUUCCCACAACACAGUUUCAAUCCUUCAAACGCAAGUGCCAUUAGCAUAGAAGAACGGAGGAUUUCGCCACACCCGUAUCGAUACAACUGUCUCAAUAGUUAUUUUGUGAAUUUGUAUUUUUAUAUUGGACGUAAGUGUGACUUUUUGGACCGACCUGCUUUGUAAUGAAACCGUGUCCCUCUUUUGUGGCUCCUCUUCACAAACCGGUGGUGGUUCAUGAGCUUUGCCUGUGACUACAACUGUCGUAUUGACGCUUCUUUAUUUGAUGGUGGAGUUUGUGCGUUAGUUUCCUUCUCCCCGUGGGAGAGCACGUUUUGUACAGCGUGUCUGCGCAACGUGUGUCGUCUGCAUGUGCAUGUGAGCUAAGGAUGCGUGUUUGUGUAACGUUACGUGUGGCUGUGCGAGCAUAUGUCUCGAUCCCUUCGGUAUGCAUGUCCGUUUAUUGUUUUAAGGUCGCUCUCUCGUUGAAUCACCCUGUUUGCUUGAGAGACUCGAAAUGUUUGAGAAUGUGUGAAGUCCUGUUUGUCUGAAUGUGUGGUGCUGCUUGUUUUGUUCGUCUGCACGACUCCAGGUAUACUAAGGUGAGCUAUAUGCCGAUGCAUGGCCCUGUAUGUUAACAGGUGUGUGUGCAGGUGUAUGUGUGCGAGUCUCUAAAUGUAUCUCUGUUCGUAUGAAGCUCUGCUAAAGCUUGACCGGAGAUGUUGCACAGUGCACUCUUUUAUAGUUUACGUGAUUAAUAUCUUCUAUCUACUUAAUUAUCAGUUGCAAUAUUAUUUAUCUUGGAUGGAUGUAUAUGUUUGUUAUUUAGUUUCCAAUCUCAGUGCAACUCUUCUUCUUCAAGCCGAUAUGUCUUUUUUACACAACAAGAAUAGAAGGCUACAUUUAUGGUUAUGUGCAUUUUGUUUCUUAAGGUGUGCUAUUGAGUGGUCUGGUUGUUUGUUGUGGGUCGUCUCACUGGUUCAAACGCUGACUUUAGGGCCCUAUGAUGUAACGUAUGUAUGACAUGACAUAGGGGCUCGGACUGUUGCUUUCUGAAAUGUCGUCUGUCGAAGUAAUGCAUGAAUGGAAAAUCAUUCUUCGGUUAAGCCUAAAUGUUAAUUGUAAGCCUCUAGCGUCGGUCACUUUAAAGAAUGAAAAUGCACUUUGGUUUGAAUUCUCUAUUGGGUGUUUUGUUUUGCUUUUAAAUCUUUCUUUUAUGUCUUUUUUUUCAACGAUUGUUUAGCAUGUUGGAACUGCAAACUUUUAAGUGUCGUCUUUAACUGCCAUAAAGGACUACUGAAAUAAACAUUGCAACUGAA
Triplophysa dalaica is the source of this 6833-nucleotide RNA transcript. It is a transcript of the gene named ATPase phospholipid transporting 8A1, with no coding region annotated. The record is from RefSeq and is a predicted model, not a curated record. Lineage: Eukaryota; Metazoa; Chordata; Actinopteri; Cypriniformes; Nemacheilidae. The transcript is spliced from 38 exons.